AGAGUUUGAUCCUGGCUCAGGACGAACGCUGGCGGCGUGCUUAACACAUGCAAGUCGAACGGUGACGAGGAGCUUGCUCCUCUGAUCAGUGGCGAACGGGUGAGUAACACGUGAGCAACCUGCCCCAGACUCUGGGAUAACAGCUGGAAACAGCUGCUAAUACCGGAUACGAGACGGAGAGGCAUCUCUACCGUCUGGAAAGCUUUUCGGUCUGGGAUGGACUCGCGGCCUAUCAGCUAGUCGGUGAGGUAAUGGCUCACCAAGGCGACGACGGGUAGCCGGCCUGAGAGGGCGACCGGCCACACUGGGACUGAGACACGGCCCAGACUCCUACGGGAGGCAGCAGUGGGGAAUAUUGCACAAUGGGCGAAAGCCUGAUGCAGCGACGCCGCGUGAGGGAUGACGGCCUUCGGGUUGUAAACCUCUUUCAGCAGGGAAGAAGCGAAAGUGACGGUACCUGCAGAAGAAGCACCGGCUAACUACGUGCCAGCAGCCGCGGUAAUACGUAGGGUGCGAGCGUUGUCCGGAAUUAUUGGGCGUAAAGAGCUUGUAGGCGGUUUGUCGCGUCUGCAGUGAAAAUCCGAGGCUCAACCUCGGACUUGCUGUGGGUACGGGCAGACUAGAGUAUGGUAGGGGAGACCGGAAUUCCUGGUGUAGCGGUGGAAUGCGCAGAUAUCAGGAGGAACACCGAUGGCGAAGGCAGGUCUCUGGGCCAUAACUGACGCUGAGAAGCGAAAGCAUGGGGAGCGAACAGGAUUAGAUACCCUGGUAGUCCAUGCCGUAAACGUUGGGCGCUAGGUGUGGGGCUCAUUCCACGAGCUCCGUGCCGCAGCUAACGCAUUAAGCGCCCCGCCUGGGGAGUACGGCCGCAAGGCUAAAACUCAAAGGAAUUGACGGGGGCCCGCACAAGCGGCGGAGCAUGUGGAUUAAUUCGAUGCAACGCGAAGAACCUUACCAAGGCUUGACAUAUACCGGAAACAUCCAGAGAUGGGUGCCCCGCAAGGUCGGUAUACAGGUGGUGCAUGGUUGUCGUCAGCUCGUGUCGAGAGAUGUUGGGUUAAGUCCCGCAACGAGCGCAACCCUCGUUCUAUGUUGCCAGCGCGUAGUGGCGGGGACUCAUAGGAGACUGCCGGGGUCAACUCGGAGGAAGGUGGGGAUGACGUCAAAUCAUCAUGCCCCUUAUGUCUUGGGCUUCACGCAUGCUACAAUGGCCGGUACAAAGGGCUGCGAUACCGCGAGGUGGAGCGAAUCCCAAAAACCGGUCUCAGUUCGGAUUGGGGUCUGCAACUCGACCCCAUGAAGUCGGAGUCGCUAGUAAUCGCAGAUCAGCAACGCUGCGGUGAAUACGUUCCCGGGCCUUGUACACACCGCCCGUCAAGUCACGAAAGUCGGUAACACCCGAAGCCGGUGGCCCAACCCUUGUGGAGGGAGCCGUCGAAGGUGGGACUGGCGAUUGGGACUAAGUCGGAACAAGGUA
Molecule: ribosomal RNA, 1477 nt
Filed under: metagenome
Description: bacterial SSU rRNA
Rfam family: Bacterial small subunit ribosomal RNA
Source: RNAcentral